Molecule: ribosomal RNA, 445 nt
Filed under: uncultured Methanomicrobiales archaeon
Lineage: Archaea; Methanobacteriati; Methanobacteriota; Methanomicrobia; Methanomicrobiales
Description: bacterial SSU rRNA
Rfam family: Archaeal small subunit ribosomal RNA
Source: RNAcentral
UGCGGUUUAAUCGGACUCAACGCCGGGAAAACUCACAGAUAAGACAGCUGAAUGAUAGUCGGGCUGAAGACUCACUUGACUAGCUGAGAGGAGGUGCAUGGCCGUCGUCAGUUCGUACUGUGAAGCAUCCUGUUAAGUCAGGCAACGAGCCGAGACCCACGCCAACAGUUGCCAGCUCGUCCUCCGGGAUGGUGGGGACACUGUUGGGACCGCCUCUGCUAAAGGAGGAGGAAGGAAUGGGCAACGGUAGGUCAGCAUGCCCCGAAUUAUCUGGGCUACACGCGGGCUACAAUGGGUGGGACAAUGGGUAUCGACACCGAAAGGUGAAGGCAAUCUCCUAAACCCAUCCGUAGUUCGGAUUGUGGGCUGCAACUCGCCCACAUGAAGCUGGAAUCUGUAGUAAUCGCGUUUCAACAGAACGCGGUGAAUACGUCCCUGGCUCCUU